CUGAAUUCUCCCUCUCGCUUUCUUCCUUUCUUUUUCUCUCUUCCUUUCUUCUCCUUUCUUUUUUCUCUCGCUUUCUUCCAUUCUUUUUCUCUUUCUUCCUUUUUCUCUCUCUCUUUCUUCCUUUCUCUUUCUCUCUCUUUCUUCUUCUCUCUCUUGAACUCUCUUUCUUCCUUUCUCUUUCUCUCUCUUUCUUCCUUUUUCUUUCUCUCAUCUUCCUUCUCUCUCCUGAACUCUCUUUCUUCCAUUCU
Molecule: long non-coding RNA, 248 nt
Filed under: Amborella trichopoda
Lineage: Eukaryota; Viridiplantae; Streptophyta; Magnoliopsida; Amborellales; Amborellaceae
Description: long non-coding RNA (ATRI_LNC003281)
Source: RNAcentral